Molecule: ribosomal RNA, 324 nt
Filed under: uncultured eukaryote
Lineage: Eukaryota
Description: partial 18S ribosomal RNA
Rfam family: Eukaryotic small subunit ribosomal RNA
Source: RNAcentral
CCCUUAGAUGCUCUGGGCCGCACGCGCGCUACACUGGUCGAUGCAACGAGUUUCUUUCCUUGGCCGACAGGCCUGGGCAAUCUUUGAACAUCGAUCGUGAUCGGGAUAGAUUCUUGUAAUUUUUGAUCUUAAACGAGGAAUUCCUAGUAAACGCAAGUCAUCAGCUUGCAUUGAUUACGUCCCUGCCCUUUGUACACACCGCCCGUCGCACCUACCGAUUGAAUGGUCCGGUGAAAUCUCCGGACUGGCGUGAGUCGGAGCAAUCUGACAAACACCGGAAAGUCGAUUAAACCUUACCAUUUAGAGGAAGGUGAAGUCGUAACA